AUUGAACGCUGGCGGCAUGGAUUAGGCAUGCAAGUCGAACGAUGAAGCAGUGCUUGCACUGUGAAUUAGUGGCGAAAGGGUGAGUAACACGUGAGUAAUCUGCCUUCAACUCGGGGAUAGCCUUUGGAAACGAAGAUUAAUACCGGAUGUGAAGUUUAAAUCGCAUGAUUUUAACUUAAAAUUUUGGUGAGAUGGGCUCGCGUCCCAUUAGCUAGUUGGUAAGGUAACGGCUUACCAAGGCAACGACGGGUAGGUGGUCUGAGAGGAUGGUCACCCACACUGGAACUGAGACACUGUCCAGACUCCUACGGGAGCUGCAGUCGAGAAUCUUCCGCAAUGGGCAAAGCCUGAC
Molecule: ribosomal RNA, 352 nt
Filed under: uncultured bacterium
Lineage: Bacteria
Description: bacterial SSU rRNA
Rfam family: Bacterial small subunit ribosomal RNA
Source: RNAcentral